RNAcentral lists this long non-coding RNA (401 nucleotides) under Homo sapiens (human). RNAcentral describes it as "HSALNT0281717". The record is from RNAcentral. Lineage: Eukaryota; Metazoa; Chordata; Mammalia; Primates; Hominidae.
GUCUGUGCCUCGCUCGCUUCCCGGCUCAUGUGGAAAGCCAGCCAGAGUGGUCAAGAGGUCCUUUCUCCUUCCUUCAACCUGAGAACUUGGCAGUGAUCAAAAGGAGGUGAUUAGUAGCUACAGAGAAAAAACACCAGCAGGCAAGGAGUUAACAGAGACUGAGCCGUUCACCUCCAGGAUUGGGAUUUGGCGGGGAGGGGGGGCGGUCACAAAGGCAAGAGGAAUCCUGGCUAAACAGGCGCAAGUCGUGGAAGCCAACUCUGAAGAACAAAGUGGAGGGUCCGUUAAAAGUUAAUUCAGUAAAUAAACUUCAUUGGUGAUAAAACAAAUAAGAAAGAUGGAAACUCCAACUUAAAAUAGCCAAAAGAUAAGAAAAAUAAAUCGCUUUUAUGUGGCCUGAA